This 69-nucleotide transfer RNA is filed under the name Ictidomys tridecemlineatus (thirteen-lined ground squirrel). RNAcentral describes it as "Spermophilus tridecemlineatus (thirteen-lined ground squirrel) tRNA". It matches the Rfam family "tRNA". Rfam says of the family: Transfer RNA (tRNA) molecules are approximately 80 nucleotides in length. The record is from Rfam by way of RNAcentral. Lineage: Eukaryota; Metazoa; Chordata; Mammalia; Rodentia; Sciuridae.
GGGGUUGUGGCUCAAUGGUAGAGCACUUGCCUAGCAUGUAGGGGGCCCUGAGUUCAAUCCUCAGCACCA